UGAGCAAUCUGCCCUUCUCAUCGGAAUAAGCGUUGGAAACGACGUCUAAUGCCGAAUACGACCUCCUUUCGCAUGAUCGGAGGUGGAAAGCUCCGGCGGAGAAGGAUGAGCUCGCGGCCUAUCAGCUAGUUGGUGUGGGUAAUGGCCCACCAAGGCGACGACGGGUAGCCGGCCUGGAGAGGGUCGACCGGCCACACUGGGACUGAGACACGGCCCAGACUCCGUACGGGAGCAG
RNAcentral lists this ribosomal RNA (235 nucleotides) under uncultured bacterium. Its description in RNAcentral is "partial 16S ribosomal RNA". It matches the Rfam family "Bacterial small subunit ribosomal RNA", at positions 118 to 347 of the family's 1533-position model. The record is from RNAcentral.